This 253-nucleotide ribosomal RNA is filed under the name uncultured bacterium. Its description in RNAcentral is "partial 16S ribosomal RNA". It matches the Rfam family "Bacterial small subunit ribosomal RNA", at positions 524 to 776 of the family's 1533-position model. The record is from RNAcentral.
UACGUAGGGGGCUAGCGUUGUCCGGAAUGAUUGGGCGUAAAGCGCGUGUAGGCGGUUCGGUAAGUCCGCUGUGAAAGUCGGGGGCUCAACCCUCGGAUGCCGGUGGAUACUGUCGGGCUUGAGUACGGAAGAGGCGAGUGGAAUUCCUGGUGUAGCGGUGAAAUGCGCAGAUAUCAGGAGGAACACCAAUUGCGAAGGCAGCUCGCUGGGACGUUACUGACGCUGAGACGCGAAAGCGUGGGGAGCAAACAGG